AAGCUCGUAGUUGAAUUUCGGGAUCAAAUUGUCGGUCGUGCCUCGGUACGUACUGGCGUUAUUGGUUCCUCCCUUCUGAAGAACCGCGAUGUCAUUAAUUUGGUGUCGCGGGGAAUCAGGACUGUUACUUUGAAAAAAUUAGAGUGUUUAAAGCAGGCUCGCGCUUGAAUACAUUAGCAUGGAAUAAUGAAAUAGGACGUUUGAUUCUAUUUUGUUGGUUUCUAGGAUCGACGUAAUGAUUAAUAGGGAUAGUUGGGGGCAUUAGUAUUCAAUUGUCAGAGGUGAAAUUCUUGGAUUUAUUGAAGACUAACUACUGCGAAAGCAUUUGCCAAGGAUGUUUUCAUUAAUCAAGAACGAAAGUUAGGGGAUCGAGGACGAUCAGAUACCGUCGUAGUCUUAACCAUAAACUAUGCCGACUAGGGAUCGGAUGAUGUUAAUUUUUUAAUGACUCAUUCGGCGCCUUACGGGAAACCAAAGUGUUUGGGUUCCGGGGGGAGUAUGGUCGCAAGGCUGAAACUUAAAGGAAUUGACGGAAGGGCACCACCAGGCGUGGAGCCUGCGGCUUAAUUUGACUCAACACGGGGAAACUUACCAGGUCCAGACAUAGCAAGGAUUGACAGACUGAGAGCUCUUUCUUGAUUCUAUGGGUG
RNAcentral lists this ribosomal RNA (650 nucleotides) under uncultured Glomus. RNAcentral's name for it is "SSU rRNA". It matches the Rfam family "Eukaryotic small subunit ribosomal RNA", at positions 624 to 1276 of the family's 1831-position model. The record is from RNAcentral. Lineage: Eukaryota; Fungi; Glomeromycota; Glomeromycetes; Glomerales; Glomeraceae.